UACGGAGGGGGCUAGCGUUGUUCGGAAUUAUUGGGCGUAAAGGGUGCGUAGGCGGCUUAAUAAGUUAAAUGUGAAAGCCUCGGGCUCAACCCGAGAAGUGCAUUUAAAACUAUUAGGCUUGAAUAUGAGAGAGGGCAAUGGAAUUUCUGGUGUAGGGGUGAAAUCCGUAGAUAUCAGGAGGAACGUCAGGGGCGAAAGCGAUUGCCUGGAUCAUUAUUGACGCUGAGGCACGAAAGCGUGGGGAGCAAACAGG
This 253-nucleotide ribosomal RNA is filed under the name uncultured bacterium. Its description in RNAcentral is "partial 16S ribosomal RNA". It matches the Rfam family "Bacterial small subunit ribosomal RNA", at positions 524 to 776 of the family's 1533-position model. The record is from RNAcentral.